AGAUAAUAGAUACCCUGGUAGUCCACGCCGUAAACGAUGGAUGCUAGCUGUUUGAGGUAUCGACCCCUCAUGUAGCGAAGCUAACGCGUUAAGCAUCCCGCCUGUGGAGUACGGUCGCAAGACUAAAACAUAAAGGAAUUGACGGGGACCCGCACAAGCGGUGGAGCGUGUUGUUUAAUUCGACGGUAAGCGAAGAACCUUACCCAGGCUUGACAUCCCUUGAAGCUCUUCGAAAGAAGAGUGUGCUUUUGAACAAGGUGACAGGUGAUGCAUGGCCGUCGUCAGCUCGUGUCGUGAGAUGUUUGGUUAAGUCCAUCAACGAGCGCAACCCUUAUGUUUAGUUGAAUUUCUCUAAACAGACUGCCCUGGUAACAGGGAGGAAGGAGGGGAUGAUGUCAGGUCAGUAUUUCCCUUACGCCUGGGGCUACAAACACGCUACAAUGGCCGGUACAAAGGGCAGCCAAGUCGCAAGACGGAGCAAAUCCCAUCAAAGCCGGUCCCAGUUCGGAUAGCAGGCUGAAACUCGCCUGCUUGAAGUC
RNAcentral lists this ribosomal RNA (539 nucleotides) under uncultured bacterium. RNAcentral describes it as "bacterial SSU rRNA". It matches the Rfam family "Bacterial small subunit ribosomal RNA", at positions 774 to 1327 of the family's 1533-position model. The record is from RNAcentral.